CCCAGACUCCUACGGGAGGCAGCAGUGGGGAAUAUUGCACAAUGGGGGAAACCCUGAUGCAGCAACGCCGCGUGAGUGAAGAAGUAUUUCGGUAUGUAAAGCUCUAUCAGCAGGGAAGAAAAAAGACGGUACCUGACUAAGAAGCCCCGGCUAACUACGUGCCAGCAGCCGCGGUAAUACGUAGGGGGCAAGCGUUAUCCGGAUUUACUGGGUGUAAAGGGAGCGUAGACGGCAAUACAAGUCGGAAGUGAAAUACCCGGGCUUAACCUGGGAACUGCUUUGGAAACUGUAUGGCUGGAGUGCUGGAGAGGUAAGCGGAAUUCCUAGUGUAGCGGUGAAAUGCGUAGAUAUUAGGAGGAACACCAGUGGCGAAGGCGGCUUGCUGGACGAUCACUGACGCUGAGGCUCGAAAGCGUGGGGAGCAAACAGGAUUAGAUACCCCAGUA
This 446-nucleotide ribosomal RNA is filed under the name uncultured bacterium. Its description in RNAcentral is "bacterial SSU rRNA". It matches the Rfam family "Bacterial small subunit ribosomal RNA", at positions 330 to 792 of the family's 1533-position model. The record is from RNAcentral.